CUAGCUGUUCGACCAACAUUGGUUGGUUGAGUGGCUAAGCGAAAGUGAUAAGUAUCCCACCUGGGGAGUACGGUCGCAAGACUGAAACUCAAAGGAAUUGACGGGGGCCCGCACAAGCGGUGGAGCAUGUGGUUUAAUUCGAUGAUACGCGAGGAACCUUACCAGGGCUUAAAUGUAAGUUGCAUAGAUCAGAGAUGGUCUUUUCUUCGGACUACUUACAAGGUGCUGCAUGGUUGUCGUCAGCUCGUGCCGUGAGGUGUCAGGUUAAGUCCUAUAACGAGCGCAACCCCUGUCGUUAGUUACCAGCAAGUUAUGUUGGGUACUCUAACGAGACUGCCGGUGCAAACCGCGAGGAAGGUGGGGAUGACGUCAAAUCAUCACGGCCCUUACGUCCUGGGCUACACACGUGCUACAAUGGCCGGUACAGAGAGCAGCCACUACGCGAGUAGGAGCGAAUCUAUAAAACCGGUCUCAGUUCGGAUCGCAGUCUGCAACUCGACUGCGUGAAGCUGGAAUCGCUAGUAAUCGGAUAUCAGCCAUGAUCCGGUGAAUACGUUCCCGGGCCUUGUACACACCGCCCGUCAAGCCAUGGAAGCUGGGAGUACCUGAAGUCGGUUACCGCAAGGAGCUGCCUAGGGUAAAACUGGUAACUGGGGCU
RNAcentral lists this ribosomal RNA (658 nucleotides) under uncultured marine bacterium. RNAcentral's name for it is "bacterial SSU rRNA". It matches the Rfam family "Bacterial small subunit ribosomal RNA", at positions 816 to 1482 of the family's 1533-position model. The record is from RNAcentral.